This is a long non-coding RNA of Mauremys reevesii (Reeves's turtle), 603 nucleotides long. RefSeq lists it as uncharacterized. NCBI's taxonomy places the organism in Eukaryota, Metazoa, Chordata, Testudines, Geoemydidae. The transcript has 6 exons. The record is from RefSeq and is a predicted model, not a curated record.
CCGGUUCCGAGACACACACCGACCCGGGGGGCCGCUGCCACUGGCCCGCCGCUGCCGCCACCGCCUCUCCCUCUGUGCGUAUUUUCCAAAAAUAAUUUACCUUUGGACAGAGACAAAGCCUGGAAAGAUUCAGCUCAAAACAUGUAUGUUGGAGGCUAAUAGGGGAAGAUUGUGUAUUGUUUUUAAAUCAGAUUUAUAUUACAGUAAUGCUUAGGAGCCCUAACCAGGAUUGCAUCCAUUUUGUUAGGCAGUGUACAAACAUAAGAAGACACAGUCCCUGGCCUGAGGAGACUCCAAGCUCAUGGAAGGUCCUGAAUUGAUAACACUGGAGACUGAAGUCCUUAUUUAUCCAUCAAAUAGGGCAGCAAUAACUAAAGUUUCCUUGCACUGCUCUGCUGUUAUUCCUCAGCCCUGAAGAAACCACCUCUAAAGAUUGAGAAGAACCACUGUAGCCAGACUGACCCAUCUGUUCCUUGGAGCUUGUCUAUAAAAAGGAGAGAGAAACGUCCCUUAGAAUUUUACCUCAGAUUUGUAUGUGUUCCAGUUUGACAUCUUCCUGACAUUGCUGAUCUGUUCAGACUUGCAUCUGAGAGACACCAUCAG